This 276-nucleotide ribosomal RNA is filed under the name uncultured bacterium. RNAcentral describes it as "partial 16S ribosomal RNA". It matches the Rfam family "Bacterial small subunit ribosomal RNA", at positions 524 to 795 of the family's 1533-position model. The record is from RNAcentral.
UACGGAGGGGGUUAGCGUUGUUCGGAAUUACUGGGCGUAAAGCGCACGUAGGCGGAUCAGAAAGUUGGGGGUGAAAUCCCGGGGCUCAACCCCGGAACUGCCUCCAAAACUCCUGGUCUUGAGUUCGAGAGAGGUGAGUGGAAUUCCGAGUGUAGAGGUGAAAUUCGUAGAUAUUCGGAGGAACACCAGUGGCGAAAGGCGGCCUCACUGGCUCGAUACUGACGCUGAGGUGACGAAAAGUGUGGGGAGCAAAACAGGAUUAGAUACCCCGUAGUC